UCAUCCAUAUCAGCAUCCUUACUUUGGCUACUACGGCCAUCCACCUCCAAUUACAGCUCCAUAUGUUCCGCCCCAGCUACCUGCUCCUCCCCAACCGCAUCAAUUAGUUGGAGAUACUUCAACCUCGACACCUGGCGGAGCUUAUAACAAACAAACAACCUCUCAAGGUCACCGUGAUGGGGCUUUAGGUGUGAGGAUUUCCGGUGCCGAUAUUAAUUCUUCCGUUGAACGCCGAGGCUAAGGCAAGUGCAUGACGAACCCCUGUUUCUAUAUGAUUGUCCAUUGUGUGUUUGUUCGAUUAUUUGUUCUCACUUAAUUUGAGAUUUACGUGUUCAAUUCGGUUCAAAUUGUUCGGUUUCCUUGAUUUGAUUCACCCUUUCGUAUUCAGUCUGCACUUCUUAUUUUCAUAGCUAACUUGGUGAGAAACUGUUCACAAGCGGCUAGUUCCGAAUUCAGUUCGGUGAGAACCGUUAGCUUGUGGGCUAGUCCGAGGGCUAAUUGUUUUCAUGUUAAUCCGGUGAGAGACUGUUCCGAGCGGCUAGUUCCGAAUUCAGUUCGGUGAGAACCGUUAGCUCGUGGGCUAGUCCGGCGAGUGUUUGGUUUCAGUCUUCAAGAUAAUAAAGAUGUUCCACUGUUCAUUAUUCAUGAUUGAUCUUAUGGCUUGAAGUGUACUUGCUGAGUAUUUCUGUACUCACUCUUGUGUUUCAUUUGGUUUUCAGGUGCCAAGUAAGGGACAUAUGCAUGGGAGACGGGUGUAGCACCACAUCACAUGAUCACAUAUCAUUAGAUGUUCUUAGUGAACAAUCAUACAACUAUCCUAGUUCCUGUAGCAUGUUAUUCACGUAUCUAUUUGUGUCUUUCGAAAGUACUUGGUGUGCCCCUUUAGUUGCUCGGAUGCUUUUCCCUAAAGCUACUAGAUGAAUUGUGAGCUAUAUCAAUUUUAUUGGUCA
This is a non-coding RNA of Lolium perenne, 950 nucleotides long. The record is from RefSeq and is a predicted model, not a curated record. Lineage: Eukaryota; Viridiplantae; Streptophyta; Magnoliopsida; Poales; Poaceae.